GAUGAACGCUGGCGGCGUGCCUAAUACAUGCAAGUCGAGCGAACGGACGAGAAGCUUGCUUCUCUGAUGUUAGCGGCGGACGGGUGAGUAACACGUGGAUAACCUACCUAUAAGACUGGGAUAACUUCGGGAAACCGGAGCUAAUACCGGAUAAUAUUUUGAACCGCAUGGUUCAAAAGUAAAAGACGGUCUUGCUGUCACUUAUAGAUGGAUCCGCGCUGCAUUAGCUAGUUGGUAAGGUAACGGCUUACCAAGGCAACGAUGCAUAGCCGACCUGAGAGGGUGAUCGGCCACACUGGAACUGAGACACGGUCCAGACUCCUACGGGAGGCAGCAGUAGGGAAUCUUCCGCAAUGGGCGAAAGCCUGACGGAGCAACGCCGCGUGAGUGAUAAAGGUCUUCGGAUCGUAAAACUCUGUUAUUAGGGAAGAACAUAUGUGUAAGUAACUGUGCACAUCUUGACGGUACCUAAUCAGAAAGCCACGGCUAACUACGUG
RNAcentral lists this ribosomal RNA (497 nucleotides) under uncultured bacterium. RNAcentral's name for it is "partial 16S ribosomal RNA". It matches the Rfam family "Bacterial small subunit ribosomal RNA", at positions 28 to 507 of the family's 1533-position model. The record is from RNAcentral.